This 374-nucleotide long non-coding RNA is filed under the name Homo sapiens (human). RNAcentral's name for it is "non-protein coding lnc-TMEM206-5:10". Lineage: Eukaryota; Metazoa; Chordata; Mammalia; Primates; Hominidae. The record is from RNAcentral.
UGGGACUCUGCAGAGGGUCCCCAUAAGAGGAAGGCCCCGACUAGAUGGAAUCCUUUGUCCCUGGACUUCUCAGCCUCCAGAACUGAUUCCCCAGGAUCAACCAUCUGAGCAGAUACCUUGGAAUGUCCCCAGAUUUCAGAGCCUCGGACCAGCAGCAACACACUCUGAAGUAGGUCUCAGAAGACAAAAAGCUGAAAUCAACUCAUGCUUCCUGCUACACAGAAUCCACUGAGAGGAAAAGGAAACUUCACCGAAACUUCAGAAAGCUACAGAAAUGACAUCCAUUUUCACAAUCCCAGAAGGAAAGAUGCAUCUGAAGGGAAUAAAAACAGAGCAAUGGAAGAGUAUUUGUUAAAAUAAAUGGCUUUGACAGG